AAGUCGUAACAAGGUUUCCGUAGGUGAACCUGCGGAAGGAUCAUUAAAAAAUAUACAAUAUUAAUAAGUGAAUUAAGCGAAUGAUUUGUUGGGUAUCGACCAACGUUAAACAAUUAAUUUAAAGUCAGGAUAUAAAAUAAAGAUAAAACUUUUAGCAACGGAUCUCUAGGUUCUC
RNAcentral lists this unclassified non-coding RNA (175 nucleotides) under fungal sp. RNAcentral describes it as "partial internal transcribed spacer region". The stretch from base 1 to 46 matches the Rfam family "Eukaryotic small subunit ribosomal RNA", at positions 1786 to 1831 of the family's 1831-position model. The record is from RNAcentral. Lineage: Eukaryota; Fungi.